This 525-nucleotide ribosomal RNA is filed under the name Beauveria pseudobassiana. Its description in RNAcentral is "eukaryotic LSU rRNA". The stretch from base 163 to 316 matches the Rfam family "5.8S ribosomal RNA". Lineage: Eukaryota; Fungi; Ascomycota; Sordariomycetes; Hypocreales; Cordycipitaceae. The record is from RNAcentral.
CCGAGUUUUCAACUCCCAAACCCUUAUGUGAACCUACCUAUCGUUGCUUCGGCGGACUCGCCCCAGCCGGACGCGGACUGGACCAGCGGCCGCCGGGGACCAUCAAACUCUUGUAUUAUCAGCAUCUUCUGAAUACGCCGCAAGGCAAAACAAAUAAAUUAAAACUUUCAACAACGGAUCUCUUGGCUCUGGCAUCGAUGAAGAACGCAGCGAAAUGCGAUAAGUAAUGUGAAUUGCAGAAUCCAGUGAAUCAUCGAAUCUUUGAACGCACAUUGCGCCCGCCAGCAUUCUGGCGGGCAUGCCUGUUCGAGCGUCAUUUCAACCCUCGACCUCCCUUUGGGGAAGUCGGCGUUGGGGACCGGCAGCACACCGCCGGCCCUGAAAUGGAGUGGCGGCCCGUCCGCGGCGACCUCUGCGUAGUAAACCAACUCGCACCGGAACCCCGACGUGGCCACGCCGUAAAACACCCAACUUCUGAACGUUGACCUCGAAUCAGGUAGGACUACCCGCUGAACUUAAGCAUAU